GAGCGCCGUAGCAAUACGGAGCGGCAGACGGGAGAGUAACACGUGGGAACGUACCCCUCGGUUCGGAAUAACUCAGGGAAACUUGAGCUAAUACCGGAUACGUCGGCAACGAGAAAGAUUUAUCGCCGAGGGAUCGGCCCGCGUCCGAUUAGCUAGUUGGUGAGGUAAUGGCUCACCAAGGCGACGAUCGGUAGCUGGUCUGAGAGGAUGAUCAGCCUCACUGGGACUGAGACACGGCCCAGACUCCUACGGGAGGCAGCAGUGGGGAAUAUUGGACAAUGGGCGCAAGCCUGAUCCAGCCAUGCCGCGUGGGUGAUGAAGGCCUUAGGGUUGUAAAGCCCUUUCGGCGGGGAAGAUAAUGACGGUACCCGCAGAAGAAGCCCCGGCUAACUUCGUG
This 397-nucleotide ribosomal RNA is filed under the name uncultured bacterium. RNAcentral's name for it is "bacterial SSU rRNA". It matches the Rfam family "Bacterial small subunit ribosomal RNA", at positions 64 to 507 of the family's 1533-position model. The record is from RNAcentral.